Molecule: ribosomal RNA, 440 nt
Filed under: uncultured bacterium
Lineage: Bacteria
Description: partial 16S ribosomal RNA
Rfam family: Bacterial small subunit ribosomal RNA
Source: RNAcentral
CCUACGGGUGGCAGCAGUGGGGAAUAUUGCACAAUGGGGGAAACCCUGAUGCAGCGACGCCGCGUGAGUGAAGAAGUAUUUCGGUAUGUAAAGCUCUAUCAGCAGGGAAGAAAAUGACGGUACCUGACUAAGAAGCCCCGGCUAACUACGUGCCAGCAGCCGCGGUAAUACGGAGGGGGCAAGCGUUAUCCGGAUUUACUGGGUGGAAAGGGAGCGUAGACGGCAGCACAAGUCUGGAGUGAAAGGCCGGGGCUUAACCCCGGAACUGCUUUGGAAACUGGGCAGCUAGAGUGCAGGAGAGGUAAGUGGAAUUCCUAGUGUAGCGGUGAAAUGCGUAGAUAUUAGGAGGAACACCAGUGGCGAAGGCGGCUUACUGGACUGUAACUGACGUUGAGGCUCGAAAGCGUGGGGAGCAAACAGGAUUAGAUACCCCGGUAGUC